UGGGGAAUUUUGCGCAAUGGGCGAAAGCCUGACGCAGCAACGCCGCGUGUGUGAUGAAGGUCUUCGGAUUGUAAAGCACUUUCGACCGGGACGAACACCCCUGAGCUAACAUCUCAGGGCCUGACGGUACCGGGAGAAGAAGCACCGGCUAACUCUGUGCCAGCAGCCGCGGUAAUACAGAGGGUGCAAGCGUUGUUCGGAAUUAUUGGGCGUAAAGCGCGUGUAGGCGGCUUUGCAAGUCGGGUGUGAAAGCCCUCAGCUUAACUGAGGAAGUGCGCCCGAAACUGCAGAGCUUGAAUACCGGAGAGGAUGGCGGAAUUCCCCAAGUAGAGGUGAAAUUCGUAGAUAUGGGGAGGAACACCGGUGGCGAAGGCGGCCAUCUGGACGGCUAUUGACGCUGAGACGCGAAAGCGUGGGGAGCAAACAGGAUUAGAUACCC
Molecule: ribosomal RNA, 439 nt
Filed under: uncultured bacterium
Lineage: Bacteria
Description: bacterial SSU rRNA
Rfam family: Bacterial small subunit ribosomal RNA
Source: RNAcentral